AAACCAGCACCUCAAGUGGUCAGGAUGAUUAUUGGGCCUAAAGCAUCCGUAGCCGGCUCUGUAAGUUUUCGGUUAAAUCUGUACGCUUAACGUACAGGCCGCCGGGAAUACUGCAGAGCUAGGGAGUGGGAGAGGUAGACGGUACUCGGGAGGAAGUGGUAAAAUGCUUUGAUCUCUCGAUGACCACCUGUGGCGAAGGCGGUCUAUCAGAACACGUCCGACGGUGAGGGAUGAAAGCUGGGGGAGCAAACCGGAUUAGAAACCCGUGUAGUCC
This 274-nucleotide ribosomal RNA is filed under the name uncultured bacterium. RNAcentral describes it as "partial 16S ribosomal RNA". It matches the Rfam family "Archaeal small subunit ribosomal RNA", at positions 473 to 747 of the family's 1478-position model. The record is from RNAcentral.